CUUUACGGCGGGCCGGGCGGGGCUAGCUUCGGCUGGGCCGGUUUCCGUAUCGUCCGGUUUUCUCACCCCCGUCGUCUGGCCCGCCACCUCA
Molecule: non-coding RNA, 91 nt
Filed under: Cupriavidus taiwanensis
Lineage: Bacteria; Pseudomonadati; Pseudomonadota; Betaproteobacteria; Burkholderiales; Burkholderiaceae
Source: RNAcentral